This 253-nucleotide ribosomal RNA is filed under the name uncultured bacterium. RNAcentral's name for it is "partial 16S ribosomal RNA". It matches the Rfam family "Bacterial small subunit ribosomal RNA", at positions 524 to 776 of the family's 1533-position model. The record is from RNAcentral.
UACGUAGGUGACAAGCGUUGUCCGGAUUUACUGGGCGUAAAGAGCGCGCAGGCGGUCGAUCAAGUCGAGUGUGAAAGCCCCCGGCUCAACUGGGGAGGGUCAUUCGAUACUGAUCGACUCGAAGGCAGGAGAGGGUAGUGGAAUUCCCGGUGUAGUGGUGAAAUGCGUAGAUAUCGGGAGGAACACCGGUGGCGAAGGCGCCACUCUGGGCCGAAACUGACGCUGAGGAGCGAAAGCGUGGGUAGCAAACAGG